ACGGGAGGCAGCAGUGGGGAAUAUUGGGCGAUGGGCGAAAGCCUGACCAAGCAACGCCGCGUGAAGGAAGAAGAUCUUCGGAUUGUAAACUUCUUUUAUGAGGGACGAAGGACGUGACGGUACCUCAUGAAUAAGCCACGGCUAACUACGUGCCAGCAGCCGCGGUAAUACGUAAGUGGCAAGCGUUAUCCGGACUUACUGGGUGUAAAGGGCGCGUAGGCGGGGAUGCAAGUCAGAUGUGAAAUCCAUGGGCUUAACUCAUGAACUGCAUUUGAAACUGUAUCUCUUGAGUGCUGGAGAGGUAGAUGGAAUUCCCUGUGUAGCGGUGAAAUGCGUAGAUAUAAGGAAGAACACCAGUGGCGAAGGCGAUCUACUGGACAGUAACUGACGCUGAGGCGCGAAAGCGUGGGGAGCAAACAGGAUUAGAUACCCUGGUA
Molecule: ribosomal RNA, 437 nt
Filed under: uncultured Oscillospiraceae bacterium
Lineage: Bacteria; Bacillati; Bacillota; Clostridia; Eubacteriales; Oscillospiraceae
Description: partial 16S ribosomal RNA
Rfam family: Bacterial small subunit ribosomal RNA
Source: RNAcentral